GGUCAUGGCUCAGCGGUGGAGCACUCGUCUAGCACAUGCGAGGCCCUGGGUUCGAGUCUCAGCACCA
RNAcentral lists this transfer RNA (67 nucleotides) under Marmota monax (woodchuck). RNAcentral describes it as "tRNA.Ala". Lineage: Eukaryota; Metazoa; Chordata; Mammalia; Rodentia; Sciuridae. The record is from RNAcentral.